RNAcentral lists this ribosomal RNA (500 nucleotides) under uncultured bacterium. RNAcentral describes it as "partial 16S ribosomal RNA". It matches the Rfam family "Bacterial small subunit ribosomal RNA", at positions 30 to 523 of the family's 1533-position model. The record is from RNAcentral.
AUUGAACGCUGGCGGGAUGCUUUACACAUGCAAGUCGAACGGCAGCACGGGGGCAACCCUGGUGGCGAGUGGCGAACGGGUGAGUAAUACAUCGGAACGUGCCCAGUCGUGGGGGAUAACGUAGCGAAAGUUACGCUAAUACCGCAUACGAUCUACGGAUGAAAGCGGGGGACCGUAAGGCCUCGCGCGAUUGGAGCGGCCGAUGUCAGAUUAGGUAGUUGGUGAGGUAAAGGCUCACCAAGCCGACGAUCUGUAGCUGGGCUGAGAGGACGACCAGCCACACUGGGACUGAGACACGGCCCAGACUCCUACGGGAGGCAGCAGUGGGGAAUUUUGGACAAUGGGCGCAAGCCUGAUCCAGCCAUUCCGCGUGCAGGACGAAGGCCUUCGGGUUGUAAACUGCUUUUGUACGGAACGAAAAGGCUCUGGUUAAUACCUGGGGCUCAUGACGGUACCGUAAGAAUAAGCACCGGCUAACUACGUGCCAGCCGCCGCAGUAA